RNAcentral lists this long non-coding RNA (314 nucleotides) under Ananas comosus (pineapple). RNAcentral describes it as "long non-coding RNA (ACOM_LNC043220)". Lineage: Eukaryota; Viridiplantae; Streptophyta; Magnoliopsida; Poales; Bromeliaceae. The record is from RNAcentral.
ACUUUAGCUUUCCCGAAAGAUACUCACUCGACAAUUAGUCGAUCCUAGAUGAAAUACAACUCUCGGAUUUCGAUAAUUCACUUCUUUACAUCCUCCCCUCCUUAAAGAAGUUUCGUCCUCGAAACUAACUCAAUUCUUAACUUUAACUCAAACCCAUACCUUACUCCUCAAAUAGAUGAGGAUGGUGCUUUCUUAUCAGAUCCUCGAGUUCCCAGGUGGCCUCGCGAUCAUCGUGAUUGCUCCACCUAACCUUCACAUAGGAAAUUUCUCGAUUUCUCAACCUUCGCACCUCUCGGGCGAUAAUCUCUACCGGA